AGUUGCUUUGCCACUUAGUUAAUGUUAUGAUUUUUUAAAAUGCUGAGAUAUAAUUCAAAUCUAAAAUUUAAGGUGUUCUAAGGCAUCAUUUUGGUUAUUGUUUUUCAAAUUUCUUUUUCCAUAAAUCAAUUUCCCAUUUGGUAUUACUUAAACUAAUUCAAAAGGUCUUGAUUAAUUGGAAUUUUGAAUUGAAUUCUUUUGCCUAACCAGUUUGGUAUGUUUCAUCUACUAAAUAAUUUGCAUCAAAACUUAAUUACUUGGGCACAUAAUUUGUUUUUCUAAUUUAUCUCUCAAUUGCAUAAAUGAUAAUCUAACAUUGAG
This 321-nucleotide unclassified non-coding RNA is filed under the name Hevea brasiliensis (rubber tree). Lineage: Eukaryota; Viridiplantae; Streptophyta; Magnoliopsida; Malpighiales; Euphorbiaceae. The record is from RNAcentral.